UUCCGGUUGAUCCUGCCGGAGGCCAUUGCUAUCGGUGUCCGAUUUAGCCAUGCGAGUUGUACGUUUACCGUAGCGAACUGCUCAGUAACACGUGGUCAAGCUGCCCUAUGGACUGGGAUAACCUCGGGAAACUGAGGCUAAUCCCGGAUAACACAUCCAGCCUGGAACUGGCGGAUGUGUGAAACGCUCCGGCGCCAUAGGAUGUGACUGCGGCCGAUUAGGUAGACGGUGGGGUAACGGCCCACCGUGCCGAUAAUCGGUACGGGUCAUGAGAGUGAGAGCCCGGAGACGGACUCUGAGACACGAGUCCGGGCCCUACGGGGCGCAGCAGGCGCGAAACCUUUACACUGCACGCCAGUGCGAUAGGGGGACACCGAGUGCGAGGGCAUAGAGCCCUCGCUUUUCUGGACCGUAAGGUGGUCCAGGAACAAGGGCUGGGCGAGACCGGUGCCAGCCGCCGCGGUAACACCGGCAGCCCAAGUGAUGGCCGAUAUUAUUGGGCCUAAAGCGUCCGUAGCUGGCCGGGCAAGUCCGUCGGGAAAUCCACGCGCUUAACGCGUGGGCGUCCGGCGGAAACUGUUCGGCUUGGGACCGGAAGAUCCGAGGGGUACGUCCGGGGUAGGAGUGAAAUCCCGUAAUCCUGGACGGACCACCGAUGGCGAAAGCACCUCGGAAGGACGGAUCCGACAGUGAGGGACGAAAGCUAGGGUCUCGAACCGGAUUAGAUACCCGGGUAGUCCUAGCUGUAAACGAUGCUCGCUAGGUGUGGCACAGGCUACGAGCCUGUGCUGUGCCGUAGGGAAGCCGUGAAGCGAGCCGCCUGGGAAGUACGUCCGCAAGGAUGAAACUUAAAGGAAUUGGCGGGGGAGCACUACAACCGGAGGAGCCUGCGGUUUAAUUGGAUUCAACGCCGGA
This 915-nucleotide ribosomal RNA is filed under the name uncultured archaeon. RNAcentral describes it as "bacterial SSU rRNA". It matches the Rfam family "Archaeal small subunit ribosomal RNA", at positions 1 to 922 of the family's 1478-position model. The record is from RNAcentral.